UAGGGAAUAUUGGGCAAUGGGCGGAAGCCUGACCCAGCCAUGCCGCGUGCAGGAAGAAGGUCCUCUGGAUUGUAAACUGCUUUUUUGGGGGAAGAACGGCUCUCUUGCGAGGGAGUGUGACGGUACUCUAAGAAUAAGCACCGGCUAACUCCGUGCCAGCAGCCGCGGUAAUACGGAGGGUGCAAGCGUUGUCCGGAUUUAUUGGGUUUAAAGGGUGCGUAGGUGGUAAGAUAAGUCUGGUUUGAAAGUUGGUCGCUUAACGAUCAAGGGUGGCUGGAUACUGUUUUACUUGAAUGUUUUGGAGGUAGCUGGAAUGGGUUGUGUAGCGGUGAAAUGCAUAGAGAUGACCCGGAACUCCGAUUGCGUAGGCAGGCUACUACGAAAUGAUUGACACUGAGGC
This 400-nucleotide ribosomal RNA is filed under the name uncultured bacterium. RNAcentral describes it as "partial 16S ribosomal RNA". It matches the Rfam family "Bacterial small subunit ribosomal RNA", at positions 355 to 752 of the family's 1533-position model. The record is from RNAcentral.